Molecule: long non-coding RNA, 3463 nt
Filed under: Sus scrofa (pig)
Lineage: Eukaryota; Metazoa; Chordata; Mammalia; Artiodactyla; Suidae
Description: lncRNA (ENSSSCG00025017455.1)
Source: RNAcentral
UCCCGGUCCCUUCCCGGGCCCGGAGCGCGAGGCCCCGCCCAGGACCGCCGCGCGUCUGCAGGCGGGGCUCGGCCGCCUCUGGGUCCCGCUUGAAAUUCUGUAGAAGCCUGAAAGCUCGCGGAGCGCGGACUCCGAAUGAGGAAACUGAGGCACUGAGGACUUCAGGAACUUGCCCACUGUUUCACAGCCAGGAAGAGGCAGAUUGCAGAUUUGGAGCCCAGAGAGUGCUGUUCUUAGUGUACACUGCCUCCUUGAUGCUGCUGGUCUCCCCCGGUGCCACCUCCAGCUUCGGGCUCCAGAACCUUCACGGUCAGGCUCUGGGUUCUGACCUUUUCCUGUCUUCAGCAACUAAAGAAUAAGAAGCAGGCAGAGACACAGAUGCUCCACGGCAGCCCUCCACGGACACCCAGCAAGCGGCGAGGUCUGGCACCCAGCACUCUGGGCAAAGUGCGCAAGAUUCUAAGCUCCCAGGAUUCCAUUAUCACUGAGAUGCUAAGAGUGAACAGAUGUAAAGUGUCAAAAGCUAAAUGAGAAAAAGAAGAGAACAGUCAUUCGGAGCCCCAGCAAGUAUCAUGGAACGCCCUGGGAUGUGCCCAGGAAACUAGAGUCACCGGAGGCUCACUUCAAAAGCUGGUCUUCAGUUGCGGCUGAGCAAAGUCCCGGCCUGCGGGUUCCAGCCCGUUGACACUGGAUCACGAAACACAAAUAGGUGUCAUUACUUCUACCAGUUUGAGGAGAAAAACACCCGCUGGUGUCAAGCCUGGAACCAAUGAGAAGAACCUGGAGCUCAUUGGCAGCAUCCUCAGUGGUGGGUACCCUGACUAACCCCAGCCCUCGGCGCAACUCCAGCAUUAAUUCUGUUGCCAGCACCUAUUCUGAGUUUGUGGCAAUUCACCUUUUCUAAUAUCCACCAGUCCCUGGGGAGCACACAGUUAGAGCAGAGUGGGUAUCUUUUCAAGGACACCCAAGCUAUUAGUUAGGACAGUACUUUGAAGGCUGAGACUCACUUUCCUGCCUUGACCAUGAUAUGAGGGGUGGUAGUUUAAGGGAGGUAUCUAGGAAGGAAGAUGGCAGCAGCAACCAGGCAUUUCACCUGGAUCCUUCUGCUUAAGAAAUAACUUUCACUGGCUGCAGGAGAUGACCCUGCUAAUUGCUGCCCUGGUGCUCUCUUGGUGGAGUUCUUGGUAAUUGUCUUAAUUCUUUGUUCUUAGAAGGAUCCGUCCCUUUCUGACAGCUCCACUGUUGGGCUUCAGGUCUGUAUGGCAACCCCUGCACGUCCCCUUUUCAAACUGAUCUGUCAUCUGCCAGCUUCAUUACCGUCUGGACAUAGGGCUACACUAACCAGUCUCAGCUGUACAAGCUCAUAAAAACCUUUUUUUUUACAAAGGAAGUAGAAAUUCCUAACAUAGAUUUCAAAAAUAAUAACUAUCUGGUUUAAAUUCCCAACCUGCUGAUUAACUUAUUCAGACUUGGAUUCUCAGCCCAUGUAAAGUCAGGCUGGGUCGGAGUUCCCGUUGUGGCUCAGUGGUUAACGGCUCCAACUGAGCCACGAGGUUGUGGGUUAAGGAUCCGGUGUUGCCGUGAGUUGUGGUGUAGGUCGCAGACGUGGCUCGGAUCCCGAGUUGGCUGUGGCUUUGGCGUAGGCUGGUGGCUAUAGCUCCAAUUAGACCCCUAGCCCGGAACCUCCACAUGCCACAAGUGCCGCCCUAAAAAAGACAAAAAAAAAAAAAAAAAGAAAGGCCAAGUUGUUUUUUUAAUUUAAUCACGUUAUUUUACAUCAGAAAACUUCACCCUCCCCAGUUGUGACAUUGAAGGUCCCCAGUGCACUGGAGAUGAUAGAGGCCCCAUCACAUGGGGCGGGGAGCCCCAGCUGUGUGCUGCCUAUGAGGUUCUUGGCCUGUGUGCUGAUUAUUUCCUGGAGUCUAUGUCUUACUAACCCCUCAGAGCUGAAUUGCCCACUUUGCUUCUGCUCUGAGCUACCCAAGGCUCAUUUCUUUGCCUUUGCCUGUUUCUGUCGCAUAGAGCUGCUAAAGCAGGGAUGGAGCACUGGAAGGAAGCGAUUUCUCCCAUGAUGCUCUCCGGCCCCUAGUAACCUGCUCCUUCGCCAGCUCUGAACUGCCGUGCCCUUUCCUUCACGGUGGAUGUUCUCUCCUCCCUCUUUAUGUUCCUGGUGAGAGGCGAGGCUGCCCCUCACCCUGGGAGGGGAAUAUCGAGUUAAAGCUGAACGUUUGGUCAGUUUCUAUGUGCUUGAAAGCCUGGACAUGCUCCAUUACCCCGGGCCUCACUUACAGGAGUGAAUGAGUAACAGAUGGAAAUCCGUCACAGGCCCAGUGGGUCCUUAGACACUUGGUUUUAUUUUGACUCAAGAAAUGCCGUAAAACUUAGUUCAUAGCAGUAGGUGUAAGUUUGAGCGCAUGAACCUAACUCCGUUCCCUGCCCGUAACUGUGCUUGUGGAAGCCCUGCCAGGGGCUUGUCACUGGCUUCACCGUUACUCAGCAGGAUGAUCGUGCUCGUCCUCUGGCUGCGGGCCGUGAAGCAGUUUUGGUUUGUGCACUUGGGGUUAGCAAGCGAUAUCUUUUUUUUUACGGACGUCGAAAUAAUGCAGUAGCUUCCAAGGCUUUGCUCUCACCUAAAGCCUGUCCCCAGCACUCAGGGGACAGCCUUCCUCCUGAUGGAGAUGUCUGGGUGUCAGAAGGUGCAAUGCCCUGACUCACUGCCCAACAGGUGACAGGGAGGCUGGGAGCACCUUUUUUUUGCCUUUUCUAGGGCCACGCCCAGGGCAUAUGGAGGUUCCCAGGCUAGGGGUCGAAUCGGAGCAGAAGCCGCCAGCCUAUACCAGGAUCACAGCAACGCAGGAUCUGAGCCACGUCUGCAACCUACACCACAGCUCUCGGCAACGCUGGAUCCUUAACCCACUGAGCAAGGUCAGGGAUCGAACCCGCAAGCUCAUGGUUCCUAGUCGGAUUCGUUAACCACUGCGCCACGACGGGAACUCCCAGGAGCACCUUUAUUACUGGGUACAGUUCUGUUUUGUAGGGCGGGGCCUUUGUAGGGUGUGCGUAUGCACACACAUGCUUGUCUGAACUCUGCUUCAGUUUUUCUCUGGGUCAAGUUCCUCCGCCCUCGUCACCUGCCAACUUAGUGGGAGGCCGUGUGGAUGGGCUGGGCCGUCUCCAUUGCGGAGACCUGGAACUUUGCACAUGUCAGUACUGGGGAGUUGUUCCUGCUGUAGUGUCCACAGCGAGACUCCUUCUUUACCUACCCUGUUGAUACUGUGCCCCCAAAGCACUAUUAUUUAUUCUUCUUGUGUGCCUGUGCCAGCACUACUGUCAGCACAUUAAAUGGUUCUCAGCUGCUUACCAGUGUGGACUUGGUCUGUGUCAGCCAUACUGUUUAGUCAUAUGUAUACAUGUCCUGAUUUUAAAAUAUAAAUGUAUUCUCAAAAUAAAUUAAAAUGUGUAU